Molecule: ribosomal RNA, 229 nt
Filed under: uncultured bacterium
Lineage: Bacteria
Description: partial 16S ribosomal RNA
Rfam family: Bacterial small subunit ribosomal RNA
Source: RNAcentral
UGCGUAGGUGGUCUUAUAAGUCAGAUGUGAAAGCUCCCAGCUUAACUGGGAAAUUGCAUUUGAUACUGUAGGACUUGAAUUAUGUUGAGGUUAGCGGAAUGAGUCAUGUAGCGGUGAAAUGCAUAGAUAUGACUUAGAACACCAAUUGCGAAGGCAGCUAGCUAGGCAUAUAUUGACGCUGAGGCACGAAAGCAUGGGGAGCGAACAGGAUUAGAUACCCUGGUAGUCC